Small nuclear RNA from Rattus norvegicus (Norway rat), 101 nucleotides. The record is from Ensembl. NCBI's taxonomy places the organism in Eukaryota, Metazoa, Chordata, Mammalia, Rodentia, Muridae.
GUGCUUACUUCAGCAACACAUAUACUAAAUUUGGAACAAUAGAGUAGAUUAGCCUGGCCCGUGAGCAAAGAUGAUAAAGUUGUGAAGCAUUCCCUAUUUUU